GACGAACGCUGGCGGCGUGCUUAACACAUGCAAGUCGAACGGAAAGGCCCUGCUUUUUUGGUGUUCUCGAGUGGCGAACGGGUGCGUAACACGUUAGUAACCUGCCCUUGACUUUGGGAUAACUUCUGGAAACUGGGGCUACUACCGGAUCGCAUCUCCUGCUGCAUGGUGGGGGUUGGAACGUUUCGGCGGUUGGGGAUGGACUCGCGGCUUAUCAGCUUGUUGGUGGGGUAGUGGCUUACCAAGGCUUUGACGGGUAGCCGGCCUGAGAGGGUGAACGGCCACAUUGGGACUGAGAGACGGCCCAGACGCCUACGGGAGGCAGCAGUGGGGAAUAUGGCACAAUGGGCGGAAGUGUGAUGCAGCAACGCCGCGGGCGGGAUGACGGCCUUCGGGUUGUAAACCGCUUUCGCCUGUGACGAAGCGGGAGUGACGGUAAUGGGUAAAGAAGCACCGGCUAACUACGUG
This 468-nucleotide ribosomal RNA is filed under the name uncultured bacterium. RNAcentral's name for it is "partial 16S ribosomal RNA". It matches the Rfam family "Bacterial small subunit ribosomal RNA", at positions 28 to 507 of the family's 1533-position model. The record is from RNAcentral.